RNAcentral lists this ribosomal RNA (253 nucleotides) under uncultured bacterium. RNAcentral describes it as "partial 16S ribosomal RNA". It matches the Rfam family "Bacterial small subunit ribosomal RNA", at positions 524 to 776 of the family's 1533-position model. The record is from RNAcentral.
GACGUAGGGCGCGAGCGUUGUCCGGAGUCAUUGGGCGUAAAGAGCGUGUAGGCGGUCCGGUAAGUCCGCUGUGAAAGUCGGGGGCUCAACCCUCGAAUGCCGGUGGAUACUGUCGGGCUAGAGUGCGGAAGAGGCGAGUGGAAUUCCUGGUGUAGCGGUGAAAUGCGCAGAUAUCAGGAGGAACACCUAUUGCGAAGGCAGCUCGCUGGGACGUAACUGACGCUGAGACGCGAAAGCGUGGGGAGCAAACAGG